This 252-nucleotide ribosomal RNA is filed under the name uncultured bacterium. Its description in RNAcentral is "partial 16S ribosomal RNA". It matches the Rfam family "Bacterial small subunit ribosomal RNA", at positions 525 to 776 of the family's 1533-position model. The record is from RNAcentral.
ACGGAGGGGACUAGCGUUGUUCGGAAUUACUGGGCGUAAAGCGUGCGUAGGCGGGCUGGAAAGUCAGAGGUGAAAUCCCGGGGCUCAACCCCGGAACUGCCUUUGAAACUUCCAGUCUUGAGUCCGGAAGAGGUGAGUGGAAUUCCGAGUGUAGAGGUGAAAUUCGUAGAUAUUCGGAAGAACACCAGUGGCGAAGGCGGCUCACUGGUCCGGUACUGACGCUGAGGUACGAAAGCGUGGGGAGCAAACAGG